Molecule: long non-coding RNA, 921 nt
Filed under: Amborella trichopoda
Lineage: Eukaryota; Viridiplantae; Streptophyta; Magnoliopsida; Amborellales; Amborellaceae
Description: long non-coding RNA (ATRI_LNC003693)
Source: RNAcentral
UUGGCGAGAAAUACUUCUUCGCCACAAUUUGUUAUUGAGAAAGAACUAUGGGCACCUUCAUUACACAAAUAAAUAGUACAUGUAUUUGUUCACUUUUCCAUUCCCAUCUAAGUGUAAAAUUAUAGUAAGAUAUGAAUACUGUUUUAGAUUAAUUAUCCCAUUUUGCAUUGUAACUCUAUAAGUCGAGGGUUACACAUUUUACUAUUACAUAAAUACAUAUUUCUCGCAUGCUAUCAGGUUUGGCGGUUCCUGCAAAACCACCUUUCUAAAACCGGGUAUCUGAAUACCGCUAGAAAUACCUCCUUGCUAAUUUGAUAACCACCUACUCUCAAAACUACCAGUUGAAACCACACCCAAAAACCGCCAUUUUGAAACCACACCCAAAACUGCCAUUUAAAAAACCACAGAUCUGAUCCCAAAAGUACCAUUUGUAUCCAGAUCCCAAAACCGCCAUCCGAAACCUCCGUGAAAAGAGGCCCUAACCCUUCUCUCCACUACACAACGGGUGUUGUCUCUCUUGUGAACCAGAGCAAGGAGUCAUUGUGGGCUCUGAGAUCUCCAUCAAAGCAGCAGAAAUCAAAACCCGAGAAACAUCUCUCUCCGGCAUUCCUGUCUCAAGGGAAGAUUCAUCACCAUUGGAUCCCAAGGUGUUCAUCAUUUGUUCGUCAGUCGUGGCACCAGUCGCCAUUGCCAUUGCGUUCCAGGUACUCUAUUUCGCCAUCAGUUACCUUUCCAUCCAUGUUUGCUCAGAGGGUGUUUUCUAGGGCAGAGAACCUAACUCAAUAUUUCCUCAAAAGGAACAGGCCACUCGUCCAACACCAGUUUGUACUUCUUUUUAAUGCAAAAGUUUCAAAAGUGAGAGGGACUACCUUGGUCACUAGGGACUAUAUUAUUUUCAUCUUAUUGCAUUUCACUUGCGGU